This 576-nucleotide unclassified non-coding RNA is filed under the name Hevea brasiliensis (rubber tree). The record is from RNAcentral. Lineage: Eukaryota; Viridiplantae; Streptophyta; Magnoliopsida; Malpighiales; Euphorbiaceae.
GUAUUUUCCUAACAUUUUUUCUGCAGCUUCGGAAACCCUAAUUCCCCCCUCUGAGAUUCUUCAAGUAACAGUAGAGCUAAAUAUGGGAGAAAACAAGGAGAACGAUGCUUAUGAGGAGGAGCUUCUCGACUAUGAAGAAGAUGACGAAAAAAUUCCUGAUUCUACCACAAAAGUCAACGGCGAGUCGUCCAAAAAGGGUUACGUUGGGAUUCACAGUUCAGGUUUCAGAGACUUUCUUCUAAAGCCAGAGUUGCUGCGUGCUAUUGUUGAUUCUGGGUUUGAGCAUCCGUCCGAAGGUAAUUACUCAUAUCACUACUAAUUUGGAGAUGUACCAUGGUAAAAUUUUUAAACUGAAACUGAGGCCUCGUUGCCCCCAAUGUGUUUGGUUCAUCAUCAGUGCAACAUGAGUGCAUUCCGCAAGCUAUUCUGGGUAUGGAUGUCAUUUGCCAAGCUAAAUCUGGAAUGGGAAAAACCGCUGUUUUUGUCCUUUCAACUCUGCAACAGAUUGAACCAGUUGCUGGCCAAGUUGCUGCCCUUGUUCUAUGUCACACUAGGGAAUUAGCUUAUCAGAUCUGU